GUGGUUGUGGCUCAGUGGUAGAGCGCUUGCCUGUCAUGUGUGAGGCACUGGGUUUGAUUCUCAGCAUCACA
RNAcentral lists this transfer RNA (71 nucleotides) under Marmota marmota marmota (Alpine marmot). It matches the Rfam family "tRNA". Rfam says of the family: Transfer RNA (tRNA) molecules are approximately 80 nucleotides in length. Their secondary structure includes four short double-helical elements and three loops (D, anti-codon, and T loops). Further hydrogen bonds mediate the characteristic L-shaped molecular structure. tRNAs have two regions of fundamental functional importance: the anti-codon, which is responsible for specific mRNA codon recognition, and the 3' end, to which the tRNAs corresponding amino acid is attached (by aminoacyl-tRNA synthetases). tRNAs cope with the degeneracy of the genetic code in two manners: having more than one tRNA (with a specific anti-codon) for a particular amino acid; and 'wobble' base-pairing, i.e. permitting non-standard base-pairing at the 3rd anti-codon position. RNAcentral also lists the same sequence under 1 other name. Lineage: Eukaryota; Metazoa; Chordata; Mammalia; Rodentia; Sciuridae. The record is from Rfam by way of RNAcentral.